RNAcentral lists this ribosomal RNA (255 nucleotides) under uncultured bacterium. RNAcentral describes it as "partial 16S ribosomal RNA". It matches the Rfam family "Bacterial small subunit ribosomal RNA", at positions 524 to 775 of the family's 1533-position model. The record is from RNAcentral.
UACGUAGGGUGCGAGCGUUAAUCGGAAUUACUGGGCGUAAAGCGUGCGCAGGCGGUUCGUUGUGUCGGCGGUGAAAGCCCCGGGCUUAACCUGGGAAUGGCCGUUGAAACUGGCGAACUGGAGUGUGGCAGAGGGGGGUGGAAUUCCGCGUGUAGCAGUGAAAUGCGUAGAGAUGCGGAGGAACACCGAUGGCGGAAGGCAGCCCCCCUGGGCUAACACUGACGCCUCAGGCACGAAAGCGUGGGGAGCAAACAG